ACGAACGCUGGCGGCGUGCUUAACACAUGCAAGUCGAACGGAAAGGCUCCAGCUUGCUGGAGUACUCGAGUGGCGAACGGGUGAGUAACACGUGGGUAAUCUGCCCUGCACUCUGGGAUAAGCCUGGGAAACUGGGUCUAAUACUGGAUAUGACCUUUCUCCUUAUGGGGUUUGGUGGAAAGUUUUUCGGUGUAGGAUGAGCCCGCGGCCUAUCAGCUUGUUGGUGGGGUGAUGGCCUACCAAGGCGACGACGGGUAGCCGGCCUGAGAGGGUGAUCGGCCACAUUGGGACUGAGAUACGGCCCAGACUCCUACGGGAGGCAGCAGUGGGGAAUAUUGCACAAUGGGCGGAAGCCUGAUGCAGCGACGCCGCGUGAGGGAUGACGGCCUUCGGGUGGUAAACCUCUUUCAGCAGGGACGAAGCGUAAGUGACGGUACCUGCAGAAGAAGCACCGGCUAACUAUGU
This 465-nucleotide ribosomal RNA is filed under the name uncultured bacterium. Its description in RNAcentral is "partial 16S ribosomal RNA". It matches the Rfam family "Bacterial small subunit ribosomal RNA", at positions 29 to 506 of the family's 1533-position model. The record is from RNAcentral.